Molecule: long non-coding RNA, 1389 nt
Organism: Capsicum annuum
Lineage: Eukaryota; Viridiplantae; Streptophyta; Magnoliopsida; Solanales; Solanaceae
Exons: 3
Source: RefSeq, a predicted model, not a curated record
AGAUUUCUUUUGAUUUGUGACCAUCUUUUGUUUGUUCAUGAUAGGGGAAGCAUCAAGCAAAACAAUACUGUACAUUUGAAGAUAUAGUUGUGCAUAGAUAUACUCCAUUUUAAUUGGUUCUAACCUAAUAGUGAAUAUUGUUUCAAUACUAACUUAUUGUUAUCACAAUUUUUUAUUGGAAGUCGUGCUCUCUUUGUGCUUUGUUGUUGAUCCCGCAUAUAGAGAUGAAGUAAUUUUCCUCUCACUGUGCAGAUGGGAAAAGAUGUGCCAUUCGUAAGCCAGAAAUGGAAGAGAAAAAGCUGGAAACAACUGCAUAGGAGUAAGGGAAGUGGGCCUGGCCGACUUUUGGGGCCAAAAGCAGUGCCUCCCAAAAUCAUAGGUGGUCCAAAUGGCAAGAAGAUUUUUACAGCAGGUGUCAAGAGCACUGUGCCUGCUUUGCAUAAGCCAACCCCUUCAAAUUUGCAAUCUCCUGUUCCAAGGUGAUCCUUGGUACAAAAAAAGGAAAUACUACAAUCUGGAAAAUCAAGGGUGAUGCUGAAACAAGCUGAGCCUUCAUACAAACAUAAGCCGAUGAUGCAUAAACAGGCAGUGCCAUUGUCCAAUUCUCAGGUCCAAAUUUUUUUUUGUUGAAGAUCACAACAAAUGAACCUAUUACCUGACUGACCUUCAACUUAAUACAUCACCUAUUGUUAUUAUGUAAAUGGAAUAUACAUGAUUACCUUUUAAGCCUCUGAAUCGAAAUUUAAACAUGAUGUUUGCUUUCCAAUUAGUAUUACUAUGUUUUUUCAAGUAAAGUCGACUUUAUACCUCUAAAAUUUGAUUAUGUUGGGCCGUGCUGAUACGGGUAUACAUCUCUAGUAAGAAAAGAAUAAUUUGCAUAUGAAAGGAGUCUUAUGUAAAUGGUUAUCAUAUUUGAUUUUAUAUUUACUUAAAUAAGAUAAAUUUAACCUUAGGUGUUAAAAAUAAAGUAGGAAUAUUAACAAGUUGCUAUAUCGCUAUAUUUUUCUUAAAUUUUUGACAACGUUCAUUAAGAAUUUUGUCUAAUUGCAGGUUUUUGUAAGCUUUGUAAGAUGUUUAGAGCAAAACAAGUGGAAAUAAAUUAGUAUAGGGAAAAUUAGUAUAGGGACAAAACUAGAAAAACGCAAAUUCUGAUUAGCAAGGUUAUGAAAGGCGAUGAUCAAGAAUCAAGUCUGAGAAAGCGGAGCCCAGUCAAAUGCCAUGUUCUGAAUGCACCAUUCCGCAAGAGUCAAAGUCAGGCAUCAAAGGUUAUUAUUUGGGGACAAAAGUGGAGUGGAUAUUCGAUUUUAUGUUUACUUAAAUAAGAUAAUUUAACCUUAGUUGUUAAAAAUGAAGUAUGAAUAUUGACAAGUUGAUAUAUCACUAUAUUUU